GGACUACUGGGGUAUCUAAUCCCGUUCGCUCCCCUAGCUUUCGCCCCCGAGCGUCAGGUGCCAGCCAGGACACUGCCUUCGCCUUCGGUGUUCCUCCGGAUAUCUACGCAUUUCACCACUCCACCCGGAAUUCCGUGUCCCUCUCUGACCCUCAAGUCGGCCCGUUUUUGAGACGCUCUCCCAGUGAAGCCGGGAGCUGUGACCUCAAACGCGACCGACCGCCUGCGGGCGCUUUACGCCCAGUAACUCCGGACAACGCUCGCCCCCUACGUAUUACCGCGGCGGCUGGCAC
Molecule: ribosomal RNA, 292 nt
Filed under: uncultured bacterium
Lineage: Bacteria
Description: partial 16S ribosomal RNA
Source: RNAcentral